AUUCUGAUUGAUCCUGCCAGAGGCCACUGCUAUCGGGGUUUGACUAAGCCAUGCGAGUCGAGAGGUGCAAGACCUCGGCGUACUGCUCAGUAACACGUGGACAAUCUGCCCUGAAGAGGAGGAUAAUCCCGGGAAACUGGGGGUAAUACUCCAUAGUUCGUGCUGACUGGAAUGUUAUGCGAACGAAAGAUCCGUCGCUUCAGGAUGAGUCUGCGGCCGAUUAGGUAGUUGUUGGGGUAACGGCCCAACAAGCCUGUCAUCGGUACGGGUUGUGGGAGCAAGAGCCCGGAGAUGGAUUCUGAGACACGAAUCCAGGCCCUACGGGGCGCAGCAGGCGCGAAAACUUUACCAUGCGGGCAACCGUGAUAAGGAAACCCCGAGUGCCAGCACAGGCUGGCUGUCCACCAGUGUAAAUAACUGGUGAAGAAAGGGCCGGGCAAGACCGGUGCCAGCCGCCGCGGUAAUACCGGCGGCUCGAGUGGUGGCCGCUAUUACUGGGCUUAAAGGGUCCGUAGCUGGAUAUACAAGUCCCUUGAGAAAUCCGCCGGCUUAACCGGUGGGCGUUCAGGGGAAACUGUAUUUCUAGGGACCGGGAGAGGUGAGAGGUACUGCCGGGGUAGGAGUGAAAUCCUGUAAUCCCGGUGGGACCACCUAUGGCGAAGGCAUCUCACCAGAACGGGUCCGACAGUGAGGGACGAAAGCUGGGGGAGCAAACCGGAUUAGAUACCCGGGUAGUCCCAGCUGUAAACGAUGCGCGUUAGGUGUGUCAGUGACCACGUGUCACUGAGGUGCCGAAGGGAAACCGUGAAACGCGCCGCCUGGGGAGUACGGUCGCAAGGCUGAAACUUAAAGGAAUUGGCGGGGGAGCACCACAACGGGUGGAGCCUGCGGUUUAUUAGCCUGAGUUGCGGCCCUUAGAGUGGCCUAUUCUGUCGACUUACUAUCAGCCCUACUUCUGAGAUGAACUGAUCGACUCUCCUCCACGUACCGGCAGCAGUCAAGCAUGACACUUCGUAGGACAAAUCAGUCCGUUGCUCGCUCUGGGUGCGCUCGUCAACGGUCGAACUGGAAGCCCAACUACCCCUGUGACGAGCCUGGCGGAGACGAUUUCCCCUCCUUCCUUACCCGUUGCCAUCCAGUCGUACGGGGCUUAAUAGGCCCGAUGUGCGCCCGAUGUUACCUAUCCUGUUACCCAAAGAUGUGGCUCUCCACUACUGUUAGAGGAUUUGGAUAGGCUUCAAGCCUAACGCCCAACAUUGAGUGGGCGUACUUCGACCUUAGGCAUCAUUAGCGCAAAGUUGUAUCGCGCCACUUAUACAGGGACGAGGAACGUGUGUGGCGGGCAGUUUGGUGGGCUCACUCCAGAACUACUCCUACAUAGAGACUAUACAAGCUUAGACCCAAAACGUUCCCCCCAAUUCAGCAUUGUUCCAUUGG
RNAcentral lists this ribosomal RNA (1437 nucleotides) under uncultured archaeon. Its description in RNAcentral is "partial 16S ribosomal RNA". The stretch from base 1 to 1032 matches the Rfam family "Archaeal small subunit ribosomal RNA". The record is from RNAcentral.